GAUGAACGCUGACAGAAUGCUUAACACAUGCAAGUCGAUGGGGAAGUGGUGCUUGCACCAUGGUAACCAUAGCGGACGGGUGAGUAACGCGUAAGGAACUUACCUGCGGGACCGGGAUAACAGCAGGAAACUGCUGACAAGACCGGAUAAGGUCAUUAAGCUGCAUAGCUUAGUGAUGAAAGGAGACGCCUGCGGAGAGCCUUGCGUCCUAUUAGCUAGUUGGAGGGGUAACGGCCCACCAAGGCGAAGAUAGGUAGCCGGCCUGAGAGGGUGGACGGCCACAAGGGGACUGAGAUACGGCCCUUACUCCUACGGGAGGCAGCAGUGGGGAAUAUUGGACAAUGGGGGCAACCCUGAUCAAGCAAUUCUGUGUGCACGAAGACGGUUUUCGGAUUGUAAAGUGGUUUCAGCAGGGAAGAAGGAAGUGACGGUACCUGCAGAAGAAGCGACGGCUAAAUACGUG
This 463-nucleotide ribosomal RNA is filed under the name uncultured bacterium. RNAcentral describes it as "partial 16S ribosomal RNA". It matches the Rfam family "Bacterial small subunit ribosomal RNA", at positions 28 to 507 of the family's 1533-position model. The record is from RNAcentral.